RNAcentral lists this long non-coding RNA (1965 nucleotides) under Equus asinus (donkey). RNAcentral describes it as "lncRNA (ENSEASG00005028211.1)". The record is from RNAcentral. Lineage: Eukaryota; Metazoa; Chordata; Mammalia; Perissodactyla; Equidae.
GUUACUUUACACAUUUUUCUCUUUUUUUUUUUUUCCCCUUAGAAUACUGUACAGCUGACACAAAAAAACCCCCAAGGCAGGAAAAUACAAACUGGCAUAUUGAAUCAAAACAAGAUCAUAUGAAAUAAGGAGCAAAGUGAAAUGUCUGUCAAUGGUUUUAAUUACAGUACAAACAACAUAAAUAAAGCGUCAUUGAGUCAUUGUGAAACACAAACUUGCGGAAUGAGACCCAAAAACCCACUGGAGGAGGAAAACUGCGAUGCUGUCCAAGGUUUGGAGAAGGCAUUAUUUCUAACAUCAAGAUGCGUGAACUGCCACAAAGCAGUUUCUAAACGUACCCGUUGCCCAUCCGCCAUGGGACACCCCGAUCCUCACCCGAGUCCGCUUGUGCACCCCGGUAACAGUGGUGGUGAGAAAAUCGCUGAGACCCCUGGGGGUGGGGCUGGGAGGCCCGUGGGGUGCUCUGUGAGCAGUAAGCGGGAACUAAUUCCCCAGCCUGGCCCCAGCUCACGGCACCCGUGGUCCGUUCUGUCCGCCCCGGAGAACCCAGGCAGGACAUGUUUUCUGACGGCCACUCAGUGGAAGGUCAAGCGCAGGGCUGAGAGCAAUGGCCAUCGGCUGGGCUGCCCGUUAGUGUCUUUACAAGAGGCCUGUCACUGAGGAUUUCUACGUACAGGUAUGAUACCACGGGUGGAAAGACCAGGGACGUCCGGACACAAGUAAUCACUGAGUGAGCUUCUACAAGAGUUUUCAAACCAGCUCAGACAUUAGUUUCCUGGGCCGUGGUGGACACUGCCUGGCACCUCGGAGAUCAGUGCAUAAUCUGAUUUAGGGGCGACUGUCCUGGACAGCGGGUCUGUUAAGGGGGUUUGUUCCAUCCCGAAGAUUCCCCAACACCCUGGAAUCUUGCUUGGUUCCUUUCUUUCACCUGCAUCUCGGGACAAAGGUCAUGGAUUUCCCACUGACAGAGAAUUCGAGGUCAGUCCUAAAUGGACUUUGACAGGCGAGUCUCUAUCAUCUGGCUUGAUCAUGACCCUUGGGGGGGGGGGGGCGGUGUCCCUCUCUACAGAUGCCACAUGCCUGGCCAAAAUAAAAAACAAGCCCCGAGCGGACCUCUCGUACAUGUCGAGCGGCUGCUGGGUGCUGGGUGUCACGUGGCUAGAAGCCAGGGCUCAUCUGUCCAUUUCACUGGGGCCACUCUCGUCUGAAGACUUGCAACCUCCAGGGCCCCGGCCAGUCCCUGCUGGGCACGCUGGACCCAACCUACCCACCUCCGGGCCCCAAAGGCCCUUUGGAUGGGAUGAAGGCCUCAGACAAGGACAUUUUUAUCGAUCAGGCGCAGCGCCCAAAACCCAAGGCUGUCAUUUGAUAGCAAAAAUCAGCACUUCAUAAAUGAAACGCGGCACGGAGAGCUUCUCAGAUUUGCGGGCUCCGCACCUACCCCUUGCUUCGGGGAGGGUGCCUACUACACUGGCGAAACCGAAACCCUGCUAAAACCUGUGCUUUUUAAAAAUCACAGAUUAAAAACAGACUUUUCGAUUUUCCAGAAUCUUCUACCAAUGAAAUGUGCUCCAAUUUCAACUCUGACCCAAACUGAAGAACCCAAAUGGAAGCAAGUGUCCACCCAGGUUUACAAAGCAGCAGACAUCCAACGUUCAACAGGGACUCUAUUAACAUUAAAAAUAAAUCUAUUUAAGGACAGCUUGUCUUCUCUAAGGGGAAGAACAUCGUGUUUUGGAAAUACUCAUGCCUAAGUUGUCACAUGUUGCUUUUUCCUCGGGAGCUGAGAGGUGAGGGUCCAACGUGGGGGGCUGGCCUGCCUGGCAGUGCUCUCUCUCAUCACGGGGGUUCCCAGCGGCUACUUCUCGGCAGUGAUGGAGACAGAAGUCUGAGCACAGCUUCCACCGACCCCACCCGGGCACCCCGCCCCUUCUCUCUGCUGCAUAACUAGAAGGAUAGGAUUUU